Triticum aestivum (bread wheat) is the source of this 3176-nucleotide long non-coding RNA. RefSeq lists it as uncharacterized. The transcript has 5 exons. Lineage: Eukaryota; Viridiplantae; Streptophyta; Magnoliopsida; Poales; Poaceae. The record is from RefSeq and is a predicted model, not a curated record.
AGAAAAACCCUGCCAUCACAGCCCGUACGAGAACACAAGGGUUACCUCCGCCGCCGCGCCCCAUCCCUCCACCUCCGCUCCCCCGUCCCUCUGCUCGCCGCCGCGCGCCCCGUCCCUAUGCUAGCCGCCUCGACCCAUCCCUCCACCGCCGCGCCCACGUCCAUCCUCUCCUCGGUGCCCGUCCUCGCUCCGCCGUUGCCGAAUCUGGACGAGAUCGGGAGAAUCUGCCGGAUCUCGCGGAGCUGCUCAUUGGCCAUGCGGGGAGGACGAACGAGCUGCUCGUCGGACAUGCAGGGAGCACGAACGAGCUGCUCAUCGGCGUCCGUCCCACAGCCCCGCUGAAGACGGCGCCCAGCCCCCUCGACAACGCACUCCUCCUACUUGCCGCCCGGGUGCAAACAGCGACGGCAAGUAGGCGGCAAGUAUACUGCACCGAGAAGCGAUACAGGGGAAUGAAGCAAGCGAGUAGGAAUGCGCGGCGACCUGCUACUGCACUAAUAGUAGCCUUGACGGAGUACCGGGGCCAGCUCGACAGGGCAUGCCGCCCGCUGUAGACGCUUGGUUGUGUGAGAUGGAGAUGAACCCCGGGUCGUCGCCUCUGCCGCCUGGACAGAGCUCCACCGGUGCUGGGGAUGAACCCUGCGUCUGUGAUGAGAUGUGGCCCUGUUAUUGUUGGCUGUCGAAUUUGCGAUGUAAUCCGUCCCUAUGUUGGUGUAUUAACCACUUCGCCCUCCCGCACAAUGAGCAGAACAGAGCAGCGGCUGAAAUUUACCCAUUGAUUUCUUGGAGUGAUUCAAACCUAGGAAGCCUGCUACUUGUGCAAGCGACAGGGUAACAAGUUUUAGUUUUCUUACUGAUGCACCUCAAUUUGCAAGGUUAGAACAAUGUCAGUUUACUUUAUAUUGGUUUUCUAAUUUCUACAUAUUCCCUCAAGCAAAUCUAAUUAUAUAGGUAGUACGGAAAGCAGGCAAAUUAUGUAACUAUUUGGGUGUACUCAUGUCAGAUUGAGGAGAAAGAAUUAUUUUAUUCACCAUCCUAUUUUUAUCUAUAAUGAUGAUCACUUUUUCCAUCUUGUGAUCUUCUUUGUGCCGGUUGUGCGAAUACUUUGUUUGCACCUUAGUGGGACUGAAAUUUUCCUGCUACCAUGAGUCAUGGUAGUAGGCUGCUGCGGCAAAAAAACUGGUAAGCCCCCUAAGGGAAGAAAUUUGAAGAAAGUCUCAUCCUGCUUACCAUGUUUCAUCUUAAAAUUUUGGCUUGAAUUUUUUUUUUGUGUAACCUAUAUCUCCGCAUGGUUACUUUCUCUAGACAUGCUUUAGCUGCAGCAUUGGUCAAGUGGCUUGAACACAACUCACAUGAGUCAUUGCCAAAUGGCCCUUUUCUGAAAUUCAUUCUCUUAUGCACUGAGAGAGGAGUUACACCAUGACAGUAUGUAUACAUACAGAUGCAGGCAAUGGAGAAACUCAUGCAGAUGAUGACUGAAGAAUUUUUCAUGAAUUUUCCAACCUGAAUUGGCUAUAGAGGUUGGGAAAAGAGGAUUCCAGGCUCUGAUGAACACAGGUUCUUUCGCAGAAACCAAUUCAACUAGACCAGGACUAUGUUUAUUAGUCCUCCAGUGUUUGUUGGAAUGAGAUGACACAUGGUAUGCCAGCUAACAAGCAACUGAAGCAAGACGAUUUUUGUAAUUUCUUGGAAAGAAUGAGCCCCUGAACCCAGGAUGGCGAAGGAUCCAAUAUGUGAGGACCAGUGAGGGAAUUGCAGAGCUUCAUAUUCAGUAUAUUUUAAGUCCUUGCCUACUUCAAGUGCCUAGAUUACAGGAAACAUGUUUCUUCAAGUGUCUACUUCAAGUAAGUUUCUUAUAGAAGUAGUCAGUUUGAUUCCUUCAAAAUAGUUGUUGCCUGAUAAUUUGUGUAUGACUAAAUAGUAGUACCUCAAAUUUGCUUCAGCUUCUUAAAACAGAGUAAUUUUGUAAAUCCUAAUAGAUAUCUAUCAGUCUGUACCAAUUUCUUGUAAAUCUGCAAUACAACAUAGCCUCAUCUGAUCGAAUCAUUGGUUUCAGAUCAAUACAUCCUUGUGCAUUCCUAUAAGAUCAAUAAAAUUCAGUUUGAUUGUCUCAAAAACUUGCUGCUUGACAAUCUGUAUGACUAGAUAGCAAUACCUUAAAAUUGCUUUUGGUUUUAAACUGAACUGAACUCAGUUUGGUUCUACAAAAUAUAGGGUUGUAUUCAUUCUACAAAAACUGAACUGAAGCUAACCGUUUGGUGGGCAAAAUAAUUUGAUGGACUGUAGUUUCUUUGAAUUUUUUUUUGUUAACUCUAAACUGGACUCAACUCAGUUUGAUUCUGUAAAAAAGAUUGUGACAGACUUAUAUAUAUGCAGCAGUCUUUCGCCAACACUCAAAUUAGAUGGGCAUGAUAUUUAAAAGAAAUUGACAUACUGUAGUUUAUGAGAAUUUGGCAAGAAACUCGGAACCGAUGGACUUGACUUGUGAAAAAAUGUAAUCAAUGGACGACUACAGUUUAUAUCAAACACAGAAUCGAUGGACUUUCGCAAUGCAGGCUUGCCCUUACCAUUUACCAGGUGGCGACUUGCCGGAGGAGCCGGUGGUGCUGCUGCGACCUUCUCCGGGCGAUGGUCAAUGAUGCAAGUUGAAACCGGGGAUGGGAUAGCGGCUCCGGGCAACAAUCAGAGGCGAGGCAGCGCUACAGACCAAGGACAAAGUGCUGCACCAGGGCGACAGCGCGGGGCGAGGAAGAAGCGGCGGAUGGGGCUGCACAUGGGGGAGUUGGGGCGACGGCUCGGUUCAGCGCACGGGAUCGUAUUAACUCUGUUUUCUCCUAGGCUUCGCAUCCGUCCAGGGUGGAGCACUGAGAGCAGCCUUAUAGAAGUAAUGCAAUAUAUUCUCUCUUAUGCCUACUUGAAAUACUGUUGUGGGUCUGUACUUUGCCUCUCAUAUUGCAAGGAUAACACAUUGUAUGCCAAUUCUCUUAACUGUAGUAAGGAUGAAGCAGGAAAGUGUGCUGGACCUUCUAACAUGAAUAUUGUACAUGUACGAGCUACGAGCCACUAUUUUUUAUCAUAUGGAUUGUAAAUGUAGUGACACCGAAGUUUGUAACAUAUCCUUAAAUUUCUUUAUUGUAACAUUAUGUUAACUAAAAAUCUAGUAGCCGUGACCUUGA